RNAcentral lists this ribosomal RNA (468 nucleotides) under uncultured bacterium. RNAcentral's name for it is "partial 16S ribosomal RNA". It matches the Rfam family "Bacterial small subunit ribosomal RNA", at positions 28 to 507 of the family's 1533-position model. The record is from RNAcentral.
GACGAACGCUGGCGGCGUGCCUAACACAUGCAAGUCGAACGGAAAGGCCCUGCUUUCGUGGGGUGCCCGAGUGGCGAACGGGUGAGUAACACGUGAGUAACCUGCUCUUGACUUUGGGAUAACUUCAGGAAACUGGGGCUAAUACCGGAUAGGAGAUCCCGCAGCAUGGUGGGGGUUGGAAAGUUUCGGCGGGUGGGGAUGGACUCGCGGCUUAUCAGCUUGUUGGUGGGGUAGGGGCUUACCAAGGCUUUGACGGGUCCCCCGCCUGAGAGGGUGACCGGGCACCAUAGGACUGAGAUACGGAGCAGAGUCCUACAGGGGGCAGCAGUGGGAAAUAUUGCACAGUGAGCGGGAGCCUGAGGCGGCGACGCCGGGUGCGGAAUGACGGCCUGCGGGGUGUAAACCGCUGUCGCCUAUUACGAAGCGUGAGUGACGGUAAUGGGUAAAGAAGCACCGGCUAACUACGUG